UGGGGAAUAUUGCACAAUGGGCGAAAGCCUGAUGCAGCGACGCCGCGUGCGGGAUGACGGCCUUCGGGUUGUAAACCGCUUUCGGCAGGGAAGAAGCCGUAAGGUGACGGUACCUGCAGAAGAAGCGCCGGCUAACUACGUGCCAGCAGCCGCGGUAAUACGUAGGGCGCAAGCGUUGUCCGGAAUUAUUGGGCGUAAAGAGCUCGUAGGCGGUUCGUCGCGUCUGCUGUGAAAUCCUCAGGCUCAACCUGGGGCGUGCAGUGGGUACGGGCGGACUGGAGUGCGGUAGGGGUCACUGGAAUUCCUGGUGUAGCGGUGGAAUGCGCAGAUAUCAGGAGGAACACCGAUGGCGAAGGCAGGUCACUGGGCCGCAACUGACGCUGAGGAGCGAAAGCAUGGGGAGCGAACA
RNAcentral lists this ribosomal RNA (409 nucleotides) under uncultured bacterium. RNAcentral's name for it is "bacterial SSU rRNA". It matches the Rfam family "Bacterial small subunit ribosomal RNA", at positions 355 to 774 of the family's 1533-position model. The record is from RNAcentral.